UUGAGAUAUCUACAAAUAUAGUAAUGUGAUAGGAAAAUGUUUGUGAUUUUGAUAAGUGAAAAAGUCACCAAAAUACUUGUAAUAACACUGUGGUUUUUUGCAUAUGUUCACAAUGGAAAGAAAUCCUAAAUCUUACUUCGAAGUUAGCAAGAAUUACAAUAUUUUUCCCACCCCAAUUCAUGGCCCUCUACUUUAUGGUCUUAUUUCAUAGGCUUUCUGACAUGUUUUGCUUCAAAGAGGUCCUAUUCCCCAUCCCAUUUCCUAUCUUCUGGUUUGGGAUUACACUCAAGAUGUGAUAUACAGAUAGAUUAGUUUAUUAGAAAGAAAAUAUUUUUCCACAUGGCGAACUUUAGUGGAGGCUAACAAAUCAGAAUGUGCUAAAAUAGCCAUGUGUACAUAUAGACAAUGGGAAGCUUGGAACUGCUUUAGCAUUUUAUACAAAAGACUUAAAAGUAAUUUCAGCUGGGCACUGUGGCUCGGGCCUGUAAUCCCAGCACUUUGGGAGGCUAAAGUGAGAGGAUUGCUUGAGGCCAGGAGUUCAAGACCAGCCUGGGCAACAUAGUGAGACCCUCCCCCCAUCUGUACAAAAAAAUUACAAAAUUAACCAGGCAUUGUGGCUCGCACCUGUGGUACCAGCUACUUGGAAGGCUGAGACAGGAGGAUGGCUUGAGCCUGGGAGGUUGAGGCUUUAAUGAGCCAUGAUCAUGCCACUGCACUCCAGCUUGGGCAACAGAGUGAGACCCUGUUUCCAAAAACAACAAAAACUGGUUUCAAAUAUAUUGCUACAUUGGAAUUCUCCAUAAAGGAAUUAAUUGUUGAUAACAAUGCCCUCAGUAUACUAUUUGUCAAUACCUAUAACAAUGCAACAAACAAAAAAGAAAAUUUAAAUAGCUGGACCACAUUAAAAGUUUUAUUGGGCUAAAAUCAAAAACAUCUGACAAGUUUUUGACUUGUCUUUCUCAUGAUUUAAUGUCCCAGCAGAGCAACUGGGAACCUAAUUCUGACCAAAAAGGAGGAAUUGUUUGGCUAAUUGGAAGUGACAGAAACCUUGGGAGAAAGCAACCGCAUACCAAGGAUAAUUAUAAGAAGAAGAGAAGACAUGGAGAAGAGGAGGGAGUAGUUGUGACCGUGGAGGCAGAGAAUGGAGUAAUGUGAUCAUAAAUCAAGGAAUGCUGACAGCCACUAAAGCUGGAGAAGGCCAAGGACAGAUAUUCAAUCCUCCCGUAGAAGUACAGCCCUGCUAAUGCAUUGAUUUUGGACUUCUGGCCUCAGAACUGUAAGAGAAUAAAUUUCUAUUGUUUUAAGCCUUCAGUUUGUGGUAGUUUGUUACAGAAACCCUGUAAAGUUAAUACACAGAGUUCAAAGAGAAUCCGGUAAUAUCUCUAAAAGACUCGUGUAUUAGUCAGGAUUCUCCAGAGAAGCAAAGCCAAUAGAAUGAUACAUGUUGUUAAAGCAAAUUAAAAUGGAGACCAUGCCUGAAGAAUCUCUGUGCAGAGAAACCCAGUUAGGCCUCAUAAGUUAACCUUACUUGAUUUGCAAACAUAAUCUAAAAGUUAACUGGAGCUAUUUCCGGUAAAUGAAUAUAACACAACUUAAGCUCAAUCAGUCAGAAGCAGCUUUAUAAUUAUGUAGCUAGGG
This 1638-nucleotide long non-coding RNA is filed under the name Homo sapiens (human). RNAcentral describes it as "PREDICTED lncRNA (TCONS_00212494)". Lineage: Eukaryota; Metazoa; Chordata; Mammalia; Primates; Hominidae. The record is from RNAcentral.